Molecule: small RNA, 87 nt
Filed under: Listeria monocytogenes serotype 4b str. LL195
Lineage: Bacteria; Bacillati; Bacillota; Bacilli; Caryophanales; Listeriaceae
Description: RNA anti-toxin A
Source: RNAcentral
UAUUAAAUAUGAAAAGAGAGUCAUGCGCUAAGAUGACUCUCAAGUAUAAGCCCAUUUAAGGUGGCAGCUAGCUUAAUAGAUUAUAAA